This 86-nucleotide transfer RNA is filed under the name Lentisphaerota bacterium. Its description in RNAcentral is "Lentisphaerae bacterium (aquatic metagenome) tRNA-Leu". It matches the Rfam family "tRNA". From Rfam's summary of the family: Transfer RNA (tRNA) molecules are approximately 80 nucleotides in length. Their secondary structure includes four short double-helical elements and three loops (D, anti-codon, and T loops). Lineage: Bacteria; Pseudomonadati; Lentisphaerota. The record is from RNAcentral.
GCCUGGGUGGUGGAAUGGCAGACACAGGGGACUUAAAAUCCCCUGCUCGAAAGAGCGUGCGGGUUCGACUCCCGCCCCGGGCACCA